RNAcentral lists this long non-coding RNA (236 nucleotides) under Elaeis guineensis (African oil palm). RNAcentral's name for it is "long non-coding RNA (EGUI_LNC032963)". The record is from RNAcentral. Lineage: Eukaryota; Viridiplantae; Streptophyta; Magnoliopsida; Arecales; Arecaceae.
UGCACACCUACUUUUUUUUGAGUACUUUUUCAUCCUUAAGUAGUUCCACCAACUCAAAUGUGUAGUUAGUAUGCAAGGAUUUUAUCUUCUCUUACAUAGCUCUUUUCUUUAGUCUUCAAUUUGAGCAACCACUUAUUUUUGAGUGCUUUCUUACCCUUAGGUAGUUCUAUUAACUCAAAUAUGUGGUUCUCAUACAAGAAUUUUAUCUUUUCUUGCAUAAUUUUUAACCACUCUCU